UUCUAUUAAAACCCAAAGUCGUAACUAGUAAACCUGCAGAAGACCACGAUCUCCACCUGAUGAUAACUCCCCAGUUCCUUCAGUUCUUCCCACCUCCCUCAACUAUCCUCUUUCUUCGAUUAUGGAUGCUAUAAAAACAAUCGAUACCUUGAAACCGUAUACACAGAGAAGAUUAUACUUCAGAUUUGGAAGAAGGAAAUCAUCAAUUUCAUUAUCCUCUGCAGGACAUCAUCGAUUUUAUCUGCACAAGCUGGAAUAUAGAUGGCAACCCACAACCUCCGGCAGCAAAGAAAGUAAGAGGAGGGUCUAAGUUGAACUUUCGUACAAAGAUGAAAAAGGGCGAGAAAGUACCACUGGAAUUUUGGCAGGGUGCACCAGUUGGACCGAACGCAAAUAAGAUUUCGGCUUAUUGUGGAAAGCUGGCACUAAAUGGAGAAAACUUCCCUUUUGACAUUCAUGACUGGUCUGAAGUGCCCCAAAAGGAAGCUUGAAGAAGCCAUUGAAGAGAUAAAGAAAAUCCAUGUAAAAUGGAAGGCAAACAAACGUAACAUGAGGUUGGAACAUUUCGAUGAGAAUAAGACUGAUGCACAAAACAGAGCUAGUUGUCCAAACGAAGUUAUUGACACUCAGUAGGCAAAUAUGUUGAUACAUUGGUGUUCACCUGAAUUCAAGGUGAGAAUGUUUACAGAUUUAUCAUUUAUGAGUUUAUAUGUUAAACUGUGACUUCUAGCUUGUGAACGUUGAAUAACAUAGAAGAAAAAAAAGCAAGAAUGGCAAAGCAAGUAGAAAGCAUUUGUCUGUGCCUCAUCAUGGUGGUACUAAGUCAUUCGUGAACCACGCGAUAGAGAAGAGACAACGCAAAAGAAAGCAAGUCUAGCGGUUGUGUAUCGGAAAACCUAUAGAGCCAGAGAAGGGAAAACUUCCAACCCUAAAGCUGAAGCAAAUCACGCUCAAAUAGAAGCCUUAGAGAGGGAAGAUUUAGAAGAGAAUGGUUCAGAUAAUGAUGUUUCAAUCUUGGAACUCACUUCUUAUGGCCAGCUGAAAGGAGACAAGUAUUCAAAAUCAUGGGAGCUGAGAAACCUGGUCGGAUUCGUGGUGUUGGUUCGCAAUUAAAGUAACCAAGCUUAGGGUGAAUCUUCUUCAAAUGUUGUCCAAAACAACGAGGAAAAUGCUGCAUUAAAUUAAGACACUGAAGGAGGAUCAGGUUCAUACGCAGAAUGAAUCUGAGGUUAAUUUCAUCGAAAGAUAUUAUGUUCAAGGUGUUGUAAGAUAUAUCAUAAUUAACUUUGGAAGUAAGAAAUCCAUCUGUGAUAAUUUAAGUAUUUUGUGUUCAUUCACCUAAAUUUCUCUUGAAACUUUUAUCAGACUCAAAAUGGUUUAGUAUUAAGUUUUUAUUUGUUUUCUUGUAUCAGACUCAAAAUGGUCAAGUAUUAAGUUUUUAUUUGCUUUGGAAUGUAAUCAAUCAGACAAACAUGUAGUACUUGUGUUU
RNA transcript from Papaver somniferum (opium poppy), 1489 nucleotides. RefSeq lists it as uncharacterized. The transcript is spliced from 7 exons. Lineage: Eukaryota; Viridiplantae; Streptophyta; Magnoliopsida; Ranunculales; Papaveraceae. The record is from RefSeq and is a predicted model, not a curated record.